RNAcentral lists this ribosomal RNA (253 nucleotides) under uncultured bacterium. RNAcentral's name for it is "partial 16S ribosomal RNA". It matches the Rfam family "Bacterial small subunit ribosomal RNA", at positions 524 to 776 of the family's 1533-position model. The record is from RNAcentral.
UACGGGGGGGGCAAGCGUUGUUCGGAAUUACUGGGCGUAAAGGGCUCGUAGGUGGCCAACUAAGUCGGACGUGAAAUCCCUCAGCUUAACUGGGGAACUGCGUCCGAUACUGGAUGGCUUGAGUUUGGGAGAGGGAUGCGGAAUUCCAGGUGUAGCGGUGAAAUGCGUAGAUAUCUGGAGGAACACCGGUGGCGAAGGCGGCUACCUGGACAGAAACUGACACUGAGGUGCGAAAGCGUGGGUAGCGAACAGG